Ricinus communis (castor bean) is the source of this 1315-nucleotide long non-coding RNA. RefSeq lists it as uncharacterized. Lineage: Eukaryota; Viridiplantae; Streptophyta; Magnoliopsida; Malpighiales; Euphorbiaceae. The transcript is spliced from 2 exons. The record is from RefSeq and is a predicted model, not a curated record.
UUCAAAUUGGGUCUGCUUCAAAGACAUAUUUUGCCACCGCUUUAUCUGUUUCUGGUGGCUCAUGAAAUUCUUCACCAGAGGUGAUUACAUUUUCCUGUUAGGUGCUUUCUCGCAGUCUUAAUAUGUACAAAGGUUAUAAGUGGUAUUUGCUAAAUUCUGCAAGGCACAAUAGCAAACCAAGGGCUCACUCACUCUAGUUGCCACUAGCAACGGCGGUUCUCUCCUAUUCAGUUGCUUGAUUAUUGAGCGUGAUUGUAGAGGAGCCUUGGCUAAAAUAGGAUACUCAAAGGGAGGAUUUUGUAGCCGUUACAGCAGAGUAUUGGAACUCUCAGAGCAAGAAUACCGAGUACCCAAUUCCCAGAGGAGCAAUUAAUAUUCCCCAGAUUACCGCUCUUUCGAACCGUGGAAAGGUUCCUUGUAUUAUUGCUCAUUGCCUUUCCCGUGAUUUACUUUCUGAUGCGAAGCCGUAGCGACGCUGACUAAUAACAUUCUUGGUCUUUACAGUAACUCAAUUCUGACCAGUCCGGUCUCCCAUGUAUUUAUUGAAAAAGAUCAACAACGUUCAAGGAGGAAAGCCAUGCAAAAGGGUUUCACACUCGCAGCAGUAAGGAACAAUAAAAAUAGGAGAGAGAGAGAGAGAGAGAGAGAGAGAGAGAGAGAGAGAUGGCAGCAAAAAAGUGAAAGAAGAUAGAAUCAGCCAAUUACCAGAUUGUCUUCUUCAUCGUAUCUUCUCUUUUAUGCAAACAAGUGAUGUUGUUCAAAAUUGUACUUCGUCCAAAAGAUGGAGGUUCUCUCCGGAAUUUCUGGUCCACUGAAUGAGAAUCCGUCACCCUUUUCCAAUUUGAAGCAUCUGAAGUUGAAGAUGUUGUCCAAGAAUGUUAGUAUACCUACCUCUGUCGUAUAAUACUUUCUGAAGAGCGGUGGAGUUUAUCAAUUUCAGGUAUCUGAAAGUUGAAGACUGGACAGUAAAUCAGCAGCUGCAGCAAGAAUUGAGAGCAGCAGUAGCAGAAUAGCUUUUCUAACAGCUUAAUUAGUUAUUUAGUUGUUAGCUUAAUCUAAAAAGAAUUGAUUUUUAUAAACACUCGUGGCAGUCUAAGCAAACGACACAUGUGAAAAGUACAAGUAAAGUGGUACAUGCUUUUUUAUUGCAAGAGUGGAUCAGUGAUGUGGAAUGCAAAAUAAAGAUUCUUUUUUUUUAAGGAAAAAAAAGAAAGAAUAUUAUUUGAUGAUAAUAACUAUGGUAAAAUGCGAUUUUAUUAUGCUGUGAUAGAAAUAAUGCGAUUCUGUUCAAGUGAAUUUGGACGGCUUAUUAUAA